This is a long non-coding RNA of Poecilia latipinna (sailfin molly), 864 nucleotides long. RefSeq lists it as uncharacterized. The record is from RefSeq and is a predicted model, not a curated record. The transcript is spliced from 3 exons. Lineage: Eukaryota; Metazoa; Chordata; Actinopteri; Cyprinodontiformes; Poeciliidae.
UGCAGUAGGUGGAUCACCAUCCUAUGUUUUGAGUAGCAUUUCAUUAACCUGGACAGAAGCUCAGAAAUUCUGCCGUGAGAAUUAUGUUGACCUGGCCAGUGUACGAAAUCAGGCAGAAAAUGACAUCAUCAGAAACCUAAUAGGUCCCGGAAUUGUUUGGAUUGGACUGUAUCGGGAAAUGCUGUGGUCUGAUGGCAGCGACUCUCUGUUUCGACACUUUGCAAAUGGCGAGCCCAACGGUCCCUCUGGUGAUAAGUGUGUUGUUGGAUCCUUUAGUGACUCUGGAAGAUGGUCGGAUGAAAGCUGCAGCCUGAGUUAUCCAUUCGUCUGCUACAAACAAAUUCCACCAAAUGCAGAAGGUUUUACAGCUUCAGCACAGAAUGAGAGCAGCAUCACUCUGCAGUGGAACAAGAUCAACAUCAACACCAGCUUUGUUCUCCUGUUUAAUGGUGUGGAGACAUUCAUCAGUGCCCCAGUUGCAGAUGGACCAGUAAACUACACAGUCUCAUCUCUCACUCCUGCAACAAACUACACAUUCACUCUCUUCUCUGUUCUUGACAACAUCAGGAGCAGUGGCAUCAACAUUACUGCAGCUACUGGUAAGACUUUACAUUUUAUUAAGAAACAAAGAUAUUUUAAUGCCAGAAGUCAGUUAGUCUGUAGUCUUUUGGAUAUUGAAAAUGGUUUAUUUGCCUUGGAGAGGUAAAGCGCACGACUCGUAUGCGUCCUCAGUCCUGGCUUGUUGACCUUUGCCACAUCUUCCCCCCUCUCUUAUAACCCGGUUUUUUUGUUUGAGCACUUUUACAUUCACUCUUAAACCUGCUCUGUAACAACUUAUGAAACAUGAGUCUCAUUUGAAGGACA